Molecule: ribosomal RNA, 706 nt
Filed under: Bacillus sp. Pd-E-(s)-m-N-4(2)
Lineage: Bacteria; Bacillati; Bacillota; Bacilli; Caryophanales; Bacillaceae
Description: bacterial SSU rRNA
Rfam family: Bacterial small subunit ribosomal RNA
Source: RNAcentral
UCCGGGAAACCGGGCUAAUACCGGAUGGUUGUUUGAACCGCAUGGUUCAAACAUAAAAGGUGGCUUCGGCUACCACUUACAGAUGGACCCGCGGCGCAUUAGCUAGUUGGUGAGGUAACGGCUCACCAAGGCNACGAUGCGUAGCCGACCUGAGAGGGUGAUCGGCCACACUGGGACUGAGACACGGCCCAGACUCCUACGGGAGGCAGCAGUAGGGAAUCUUCCGCAAUGGACGAAAGUCUGACGGAGCAACGCCGCGUGAGUGAUGAAGGUUUUCGGAUCGUAAAGCUCUGUUGUUAGGGAAGAACAAGUACCGUUCGAAUAGGGCGGUACCUUGACGGUACCUAACCAGAAAGCCACGGCUAACUACGUGCCAGCAGCCGCGGUAAUACGUAGGUGGCAAGCGUUGUCCGGAAUUAUUGGGCGUAAAGGGCUCGCAGGCGGUUUCUUAAGUCUGAUGUGAAAGCCCCCGGCUCAACCGGGGAGGGUCAUUGGAAACUGGGGAACUUGAGUGCAGAAGAGGAGAGUGGAAUUCCACGUGUAGCGGUGAAAUGCGUAGAGAUGUGGAGGAACACCAGUGGCGAAGGCGACUCUCUGGUCUGUAACUGACGCUGAGGAGCGAAAGCGUGGGGAGCGAACAGGAUUAGAUACCCUGGUAGUCCACGCCGUAAACGAUGAGUGCUAAGUGUUAGGGGGUUUCCGCCCC